AGUGGAUGGGGAGCAACCUAGUUGUGCGUGUGUAAAGGUAGUGCCAAGAAAAGCGAUGAUCAUGUUGAAAAUCAAUUCCCGGUACCCGAAACCGACACAGGUGGGCAAGUAGAGAAUACUAAGGGGCGCGAGGUAACUCUCUCCAAGGAACUCGGCAAAAUGACCCCGUAACUUAGGGAGAAGGGGUGCCACCGAGAGGUGGUCGCAGUGAAGAGGCCCAGGCGACUGUUUAGCAAAAACAUAGGUCUCUGCAAACUCGAAAGAGGAGGUAUAGGGGCUGACGCCUGCCCAGUGCCGGAAGGUUAAAGAAGUUGGUCAGUUUUAGGAUGAAGCUAGCGACUGAAGCCCCGGUGAACGGCGGCCGUAACUAUAACGGUCCUAAGGUAGCGAAAUUCCUUGUCGGGUAAGUUCCGACCCGCACGAAAGGCGUAACGAUCUGGGCGCUGUCUCGGAGAGAGGCUCGGCGAAAUAGGAUUGUCUGUGAAGAUACGGACUACCUGCAUUUGGACAGAAAGACCCUAUGAAGCUUUACUAUAGCUUGGAAUUGUGUUCGGGCUUCCUGUGCGCAGGAUAGGUGGGAGGCGUAGAAGGUAUUCUUGUGGGGAUACUGGAGCCAACGGUGAGAUACCACUCUCAGGAGGCUAGAAUUCUAACUUAAUUAAGGACAGUUUCAGGUGGGUAGUUUGACUGGGGCGGUCGCCUCCAAAAAGGUAACGGAGGCGUACAAAGGUUCCCUCAGACUGGUUGGAAAUCAGUCGAAGAGUGCAAAGGCAGAAGGGAGCUUGACUGCGAGAAGUACAGUUCGAGCAGGGUGGAAACACGGUCUUAGUGAUCCGACGGUGCUGUGUGGAAGGGCCGUCGCUCAACGGAUAAAAGUUACUCUAGGAUAACAGGCUGAUCUCCCCCAAGAGUUCACAUCGACGGGGAGGUUUGGCACCUCGAUGUCGGCUCAUCGCAACCUGGGGCGGAAGUACGUCCCAAGGGUUGGGCUGUUCGCCCAUUAAAGUGGUACGUGAGCUGGGUUCAGAACGUCGUGAGACAGUUCGGUCCAUAUCCGAUGUAGGCGUGAGAAUAUUGAGAGGAGCCUUCCUUAGUACGAGAGGACCGGGUAGGACGCACCGCUGGUGUACCUGUUAUGAUGCCAAUUGUAAACGCAGGGUAGCCAAGUGCGGAGAGGAUAACCGCUGAAAGCAUCUAAGUGGGAAGCCCACCUCAAGAUGAGUAUUCUGGUGUAAGGUCACGGGAAGACGACCCGUAAAUAGGCACGAGGUGGAAGUGCAGAGAUGUAUGAGGCCGAAGUGUACUAAUAGACCGUCGGCUUGAC
Molecule: ribosomal RNA, 1324 nt
Filed under: metagenome
Description: bacterial LSU rRNA
Rfam family: Bacterial large subunit ribosomal RNA
Source: RNAcentral